CUGGAGUCUGCAACCCGACUCCACGAAGCUGGAUUCGCUAGUAAUCGCGCAUCAGCCACGGCGCGGUGAAUACGUUCCCCGGCCUUGUACACACCGCCCGUCAAGCCAUGGGAGCCGGGGGUACCUGAAGUGCGUAACCGCGAGGAGCGCCCUAGGGUAAAACUGGUGACUGGGGCUAAGUCGUAACAAGGUAGC
This 195-nucleotide ribosomal RNA is filed under the name uncultured bacterium. RNAcentral's name for it is "partial 16S ribosomal RNA". It matches the Rfam family "Bacterial small subunit ribosomal RNA", at positions 1298 to 1500 of the family's 1533-position model. The record is from RNAcentral.